Molecule: long non-coding RNA, 1834 nt
Organism: Cercocebus atys (sooty mangabey)
Lineage: Eukaryota; Metazoa; Chordata; Mammalia; Primates; Cercopithecidae
Exons: 5
Source: RefSeq, a predicted model, not a curated record
CUCAGACAAUAGGAUAACUAAAAACAACUACAAGAAAAUAAACCUCAAAAUACAUUUCAUCAAAAGUAAGAGAAAAAAGAAACCCAAGAAAAUCCCAGAUUUCUUUUAAGUGCUGCCAAAAGCAGAGCUGAACAGGAAGCCCAUGUUGUUUCUUCAGUUAACAAGAUCAACCUUGCUGGGAAAUGAACAAGCGACCAGGGUUCCUGUGUGAAGAACAUGACUCUGGAUAGGACAGCUCUGCAGUUGAGACAGACGCUGAAGGAGCUGGAGGCUACCUACUGACCACUCUCCCCAGCAGCUGAGAAGGAAAGAAGACAGAAAGCUUGGCUCAGCUAUACUAACUUUCAGAAGGAGAAAAAAGCACCAUGUUAGGACAAGUCCUGUUGGGAAUCACUGUGCUGCUGGUUCAUGAAUCUGAAGAAAAAAACUGGCAAUGAGAAUAGAAGAAUCGCAAACAAUGUAGCAGGCCCUUGCCAAGAUUUAAAUACAGAAGAAACAUUCAAAAGGACGGUAUCAAAUUAUCACAAAGAUGAAGAAAGUAAUGACUUACAUUCUCCAUCCUCUGGCUGGGUGACUCACCAAAGUGGAAAAUAAAGCACUUGGAGAUUACAGUUACUCCCAAAAAGAGGGGGAAAGGGAUGGGCUCUGGAGAAGCCAAUCCAGUUACAAGUUAACAUGCCACUGGAACAUCUGUGAUGGGAGGUGGCAGCUAAAUGCUUCGUGUCUCUUUGUGUUCUCCAGAAUCUUCAAGUAAGAAAGUCCAGCCCUGCCUCAGCAUUCUUCAUCUGGACCGCAGACAUAUUAAAAAGCACCUAAUGCGUGCAGGGUAUCAUGUGAGGAUAUGCAGGUGAUAAUUGUUGUGCAUGCACACUUAGUUAGAACACAGAGUGAAAAUAGGUGUCCCUGACCACUCUACUUAAAAGGGCUGCUCUCUGUAGUCUCUAUUUAUUUUUGUAAUGGUCAUAUUGACAUACAACUCAUACAUUAUACAAUCUGACCACUUCUAUUUUGUUAUAUACCUGUGUUAACUUAUUUAAAAUACAGGCUCCAUGAAGAUAACAACCAGGUGUCUUUUGUUCAUCAGUGGACACCCAGCAGCUAUCAUAAUGCACAAUGCAGCCACUCAGUAAUGAUGCGGAAUGGGGAAGGGAAGUGCUGGGAAGGGAAGGGCAUGGUCCCUUUAAAUGAUAGGGAAGCUGGGAAGGGCAGGGUUCAUAGCUAGGGCUCCACCCCCAGGCCUGUGCCUAUGGACCUAGGUGAGGACAGACAUUUUUGUUUUCCUGCCCCAAUGUUGCAUUUCCCAAGACCACCCUGGCCUGCCACGCCCCCAUCCUUUGCCUGUAAAAUCCCCCAGACCCUAGCAGGCAAACACACAGGCGGCUGGACGUGGAGAGGAGCAUUUCAGCGGAGGCACACGUGGGCGGCUGGACAUCUAGAGGAGCUCUGACAGGCACUGGCACACCAGCAGGCCACUCACUGGCAGAACGGCCUGGAGUUUGGCCGGGGCAGUUGGAGGAGAGCCCUGGCGGCCAAGCAUCCCGACUCCAGGGGAAAACCAUCUCCCUUCUGGCUCCCCCAUCUGCUGAGAGCUACUUCCACUCAAUGAAGCCUUGCGCUCAUUCUCCAAGCCCACGUGUGAUCUGAUUCUUCCUGUGCACCAAGUCAAGAACCCCGGGAUACAGAAAGCCAUCUCUCCUUAUGAUAAGGCAGGGGGCGUCUAAAUGAGCUAUCACAAGCCACCUACUGAUGGCUAAACUAAAAGAGCACCCUGUAAUGCAUGCCCGCUGUGGCUUCAGCUGUAAACAUUCACCCCUAGACACAGCCCUGGGGCUCC